CCUCGGAGAGUUUGAUCCUGGCUCAGGACGAACGCUGGCGGCGUGCCUAAUACAUGCAAGUCGAGCGGACAGAAGGGAGCUUGCUCCCGGAUGUUAGCGGCGGACGGGUGAGUAACACGUGGGUAACCUGCCUGUAAGACUGGGAUAACUCCGGGAAACCGGAGCUAAUACCGGAUAGUUCCUUGAACCGCAUGGUUCAAGGAUGAAAGACGGUUUCGGCUGUCACUUA
This 229-nucleotide ribosomal RNA is filed under the name Bacillus altitudinis. RNAcentral's name for it is "partial 16S ribosomal RNA". It matches the Rfam family "Bacterial small subunit ribosomal RNA", at positions 1 to 221 of the family's 1533-position model. Lineage: Bacteria; Bacillati; Bacillota; Bacilli; Caryophanales; Bacillaceae. The record is from RNAcentral.